UAGUCGGUUGUCGUCAGGCUCGUGUCGUGAGAUGUUGGGUUAAGUCCCGCAACGAGCGCAACCCCUAUUGUUAGUUGCCAUCAUUCAGUUGGGCACUCUAGCGAGACUGCCGGUAAUAAACCGGAGGAAGUGGGGAUGACGUCAAAUCAUCAUGCCCCUUAUGACCUGGGCUACACACGUGCUACAAUGGUUGGUACAACGAGUUGCGAGUCGGUGACGGCGAGCUAAUCUCUUAAAGCCAAUCUCAGUUCGGAUUGUAGGCUGCAACUCGCCUACAUGAAGUCGGAAUCGCUAGUAAUCGCGGAUCAGCACGCCGCGGUGAAUACGUUCCCGGGCCUU
Molecule: ribosomal RNA, 339 nt
Filed under: uncultured Streptococcus sp.
Lineage: Bacteria; Bacillati; Bacillota; Bacilli; Lactobacillales; Streptococcaceae
Description: bacterial SSU rRNA
Rfam family: Bacterial small subunit ribosomal RNA
Source: RNAcentral